GGUGGAGCAUGCCUGCGGGUGAGUAACACGUGAGCAACCUGCCCCUGACUGUGGGAUAAGCGCUGGAAACGGCGUCUAAUACUGGAUACGAGUAGCGACCGCAUGGUCAGUUACUGGAAAGAUUUAUUGGUUGGGGAUGGGCUCGCGGCCUAUCAGCUUGUUGGUGAGGUAAUGGCUCACCAAGGCGUCGACGGGUAGCCGGCCUGAGAGGGUGACCGGCCACACUGGGACUGAGACACGGCCCAGACUCCUACGGGAGGCAGCAGUGGGGAAUAUUGCACAAUGGGCGCAAGCCUGAUGCAGCAACGCCGCGUGAGGGAUGACGGCCUUCGGGUUGUAAACCUCUUUUAGCAGGGAAGAAGCGAAAGUGACGGUACCUGCAGAAAAAGCGCCGGCUAACUACGUGCCAGCAGCCGCGGUAAUACGUAGGGCGCAAGCGUUAUCCGGAAUUAUUGGGCGUAAAGAGCUCGUAGGCGGUUUGUCGCGUCUGCUGUGAAAUCCGGAGGCUCAACCUCCGGCCUGCAGUGGGUACGGGCAGACUAGAGUGCGGUAGGGGAGAUUGGAAUUCCUGGUGUAGCGGUGGAAUGCGCAGAUAUCAGGAGGAACACCGAUGGCGAAAGGCAGAUCUCUGGGCCGUAACUG
Molecule: ribosomal RNA, 642 nt
Filed under: Microbacterium sp. R42
Lineage: Bacteria; Bacillati; Actinomycetota; Actinomycetes; Micrococcales; Microbacteriaceae
Description: bacterial SSU rRNA
Rfam family: Bacterial small subunit ribosomal RNA
Source: RNAcentral